Molecule: long non-coding RNA, 212 nt
Filed under: Gossypium barbadense (sea-island cotton)
Lineage: Eukaryota; Viridiplantae; Streptophyta; Magnoliopsida; Malvales; Malvaceae
Description: long non-coding RNA (GBAR_LNC016628)
Source: RNAcentral
AGGAAAUUACAUUUUGGCCCAUAUUUUGCUAAAAUUACACUUUUUCCCUAGAAGCUUUGCAUCCUAUGCAAUUUGGUCCUCCUGGACUUGUCAAAACGCCGCAAUAGCAGCCAAGCGUACCCCUCCCCAGCCGAGCUACUCCAGCAGCCUCCCUAGGCCAUGAUGGCUCCCCUGCAACCUGAAAACAAAAUUGAAAGUAUUUAAAAGGGGGG